UGCGGGAUAGAGGAGUGGAUCCUUGCUAGGUUCAUACCCUAGAGACGAUGGUUCGAAUCCAUCUCCCGCUA
This 71-nucleotide transfer RNA is filed under the name Anaerobutyricum hallii. Its description in RNAcentral is "tRNA-Met". It matches the Rfam family "tRNA". From Rfam's summary of the family: Transfer RNA (tRNA) molecules are approximately 80 nucleotides in length. Their secondary structure includes four short double-helical elements and three loops (D, anti-codon, and T loops). Further hydrogen bonds mediate the characteristic L-shaped molecular structure. tRNAs have two regions of fundamental functional importance: the anti-codon, which is responsible for specific mRNA codon recognition, and the 3' end, to which the tRNAs corresponding amino acid is attached (by aminoacyl-tRNA synthetases). tRNAs cope with the degeneracy of the genetic code in two manners: having more than one tRNA (with a specific anti-codon) for a particular amino acid; and 'wobble' base-pairing, i.e. permitting non-standard base-pairing at the 3rd anti-codon position. Lineage: Bacteria; Bacillati; Bacillota; Clostridia; Lachnospirales; Lachnospiraceae. The record is from RNAcentral. RNAcentral also lists the same sequence under 13 other names.